RNAcentral lists this non-coding RNA (27 nucleotides) under Cricetulus griseus (Chinese hamster). The record is from RNAcentral. Lineage: Eukaryota; Metazoa; Chordata; Mammalia; Rodentia; Cricetidae.
CCCCGCUCGAAGGGAACGCUCGGUGCU